Molecule: ribosomal RNA, 467 nt
Filed under: uncultured bacterium
Lineage: Bacteria
Description: bacterial SSU rRNA
Rfam family: Bacterial small subunit ribosomal RNA
Source: RNAcentral
UUCCUACGGGCGGCAGCAGUAGGGAAUAUUGCGCAAUGGGCGAAAGCCUGACGCAGCCAUGCCGCGUGGAUGAUGAAGGCCUUCGGGUCGUAAAGUCCUUUUCUGAGGGAAGAACUGCCGGGGGAGGAAAUGCCCUUGGCUUGACGGUACCUCAGGAAUAAGCAACGGCUAACUCCGUGCCAGCAGCCGCGGUAAUACGGAGGUUGCAAGCGUUGUUCGGAAUGACUGGGCGUAAAGGGAGCGCAGGCGGCCAAGUCAGUCUGAAGUGAAAGCCCGGGGCUUAACCCCGGAAUAGCUUUGGAUACUGCCGGGCUUGAGUGUGCGAUAGGAAAGCGGAAUUCCAGGUGUAGCGGUGAAAUGCGUAGAUAUCUGGAGGAACACCGGUGGCGAAAGCGGCUUUCUGGCGCAUAACUGACGCUGAGGCUCGAAAGCGUGGGGAGCGAACGGGAUUAGAUACCCGAGUAGUC